RNAcentral lists this long non-coding RNA (3252 nucleotides) under Brassica napus (rape). RNAcentral's name for it is "long non-coding RNA (BNAP_LNC019923)". The stretch from base 1435 to 1541 matches the Rfam family "Plant small nucleolar RNA R71". Lineage: Eukaryota; Viridiplantae; Streptophyta; Magnoliopsida; Brassicales; Brassicaceae. The record is from RNAcentral.
GGGUAGUAGAAGAAGAAUCCCCAAACGUGAGAGAGGAAGUAUCUGACUCCAUGUGUUCAAUCUCAAGACUCUUCACCAUCUCCAUUGAGAUCACAUUCACACUUGCACCGGAAUCAACAAGAGCAUCAUCAAAGGUGAGCUUACCAAGGGAGCAGGACAAGGUGAACUUCCCUUGGGAUUCUAGUUUAGGGAGAGACUUUGGUAUGAUGGUUGGAUCAAGUUUCAAAGUUGAAAUGUUGAGGAGCUCUGCUACUUCUGCUUGGUGGUCUACAAUGUCCUUGAUGAGCAUCAUUUGGACAUGAGCCUCACGCAUACCCGAGAUCUCUGGAAGCUUAACUCCAAUAUCACUUAAGUCUUUUCUGAACUUGGAAAUUACCUUCUUUUGAGCUUUGGUGAGGACCCUUUGUGGAAAUGGGAGCUUGUCAUAGGGUGACUGCUCAACCUCAGUGGUGUCCUCCAGCUUGACUUCUUUCAGCUUCCGGUUAGCUCUCUUCGCAACUGGUUUCUCAGCCAUGGGUGCAUCUCCCUUCAAAAUCUUUACUUCAACCAUUUUGUCAGCUUCCUUCACAAUCUUUGCUUCAGCUUUUGCUACAAUCAGAUGUUGAACCUGUUCAAUCUCAGUUCCAAACACCAAUCUUUCAAUUGGGUUUUUGCUCAGAUUUUCCAGGUAGAGACCCUUGCUGGCGAUUCUGGUGAGUGGUCAUGGAAGCAAACUGGUUUUCCAAAGCCAUGAACUUGUUGUUGAGCUCAUUGUAACUUCCAUCAAUCUUGGAGUGAAGGUUCUUCAACUCAUAUCCAACCUGCUUUUCACUUCUAGUCUGAGACUCCAAGAUCUGUUUCAGUAGAACAUCAGUGCUGCUUUCCUGAGGAGUAGAGGUAGAAGGAUUAGCUUGUUGUUGAAAAGACUGGUUCCCUUUGUUGGAGAAACCAGGAGGAGGGUUUUGCUGAGGCUGAUAGUUGCCUUGCUGGUUGUUCCUAGGCGGAUAACCACUAUGUUGGUUGUUAGGAUAUGAUUUUUGUUGGUAGUUGUUGUACUGAAAGUUGGGCUCUUUCUUGUACCAGCUACCAUUGUUGUUGAUGAAACACAACUCUUCUUGCCCUUCCAAACCCUCAACCUCAUGGACAACAGGUGGUGUCUCUUGGCUUGGGUUACCAACAAAGUGCAGCUGCUCUUGUUUGGCUUUAUCAGCAAGGAGGAUGUCUAUCUUAUCCUGGAGAGCUUUGAUCUCUUUCCUCGUCUGCUUAUCAUCACCCCUACUGCCCCUGUCGUGGUCUCCACUGUAUACUGCAUCACUCUUUACCAUGUUGUCAACCAGCUCUUCUGCAUCAUCUUCAGUUCUUCCCAAGAAGAACCCAUUGCUAGCUGUAUCCAGUCUGGCUCUGUACUUAGGAAGAGCACCACGGUAGAAUGUGCUCAGCAAGCUUUCUUUAGAGAAACCAUGGUGAGGGCAUUGAGCUUGGUAGCCCUUGAAUCUCUCCCAGGCUUCACUGAAUCCUUCCAAGCCCUUCUGUUGAAAGCUGGAGAUCUCAUUUCUCAGCUUAGCAGUUCUUGAGGAUGAGAAGAAUUUCUCCAAGAAUGCUCUCUUGCACUCAUCCCAAGUAGUGAUAGAGUCGCUGGGUAGAGACUUCUCCCACUGACGUGCGUUAUCCCCCAAAGAGAAAGGGAAUAGCUUGAGCUUUAAAGCAUCUUCGGACACACCAUUGGUUUUUGACAACCCAUAGUAGCUGUCGAACCUAUCCAAGUGAUCAAAUGGGUCCUCUAGAGCCAAGCCAUGAUACUUGUUGUUCUCGAUCACGUUGAGGAGUCCUGACUUGACCUCAAAGUUGUUGGCUGCCACAGCCGGUGCUCGGAUUCCCAGUCUAUAACCAUGAAUGUUGGGGCGGUCAUAAGUACCAAUGGGUCGAGCUACCCGCGGUUGGUGUUCUGCCCCUUGUUGUGGAUCUGCCAUAUCAACGUCCAAUUGUUGCUCUUCUUCUCUUCUAGCUCUAGCACACACUCUCUCUAAAGCUCUGAUGUCUGCUACUAUUGGAACUAGGUUUGAUGGACCCCUGCUCCUCAAGUUCAUACACCUGAAAGUUAAAAAGGUAGGUGAAGAAGAAGAGUCAGUAACAAAACAAAAUUUAAAAUGACUUAGUCUCAAGCAAGUGACUAAAUCUCAAUGUUUAAAUCUACUCAGAAUUUGGCAACGGCGCCAAUUUGGUGUUAGGAGUUUUCAAGGCUCCUAAGACAAAUGUUGUAGUAUAAAAGAUUGUCGAACCAGUUCUGAGAGAUAUGAAAGCACCGAGAAUGCAAGUACUCACUUAAUCUAAGUGCAACCAAUGAUUUAGAUGAGUUUUAAGCUAUGACUAAAACUAAAAAGCAAUAACAGAAUGAUACUUUCUUGACUAAGGAAAAAGAGAACUCAUGGGCAUAGGGAUUAGACCUUGGGUGAUCAAGAAACAACAUCAAAGCAAACAUGAUCAAAUACUUGGUACCUCCCCCAACUUAGAUGACACAGUCUCUGUGUUGUCAAGUAGAGAGAGAUACCCAAAAGAGAAAGCUAAUAUGCAAAAAUGAAAUGGUAUAUACAAGGGAAAGUAGAGAAGUACCUCAAGUGGAAAGUUGAGAAGGAGGAUCCUUCUCAAUGUAGGGGUCUCCACAAGUGAUGGUUCCACAAUACUCAACAUCCAGUGGAGACUGAAUUGGGUAAGAGACAGCUUUGUUGACAUUGAGGAGUGUGACCUUCUUGUUGGCGAAAUCGAUGCAAGCACCCACAGUAGUAAGGAAUGGUGUGCCCAGGAUCAAUGGAACUCUCUUCUCAGUUGCCAUCUUCAAGACAGUGAGGUCUAUAGGGAUGGUGCAAGAUCCAAUCUUCAAAGGGAAAUCCUUGAUGACACCAAUAGGGGUAGUAGAAGAAGAAUCCCUAAACGUGAGAGAGGAAGUAUCUGACUUCAUGUGUUCAAUCUCAAGACUCUUCACCAUCUCCAUUGAGAUCACAUUCACACUUGCACCGGAAUCAACAAGAGCAUCAUCAAAGGUGAGCUUACCAAGGGAGCAGGACAAGGUGAACUUCCCUUGGGAUUCUAGUUUAGGGAGAGACUUUGGUGUGAUGGCUGGAUCAAGUUUCAAAGUUGAAAUGUUGAGGAGCUCUGCUACUUCUGCUUGGUGGUCUACAAUGUCCUUGAUGAGCAUCAUUUGGACAUGAGCCUCACGCAUACCCGAGAUCUCUGGAAGCUUAACUCCAAUAUCACUUAAGUCUUUUCUGAACUUGG